This 843-nucleotide ribosomal RNA is filed under the name Triticum aestivum (bread wheat). RNAcentral describes it as "partial small subunit ribosomal RNA". The record is from RNAcentral. Lineage: Eukaryota; Viridiplantae; Streptophyta; Magnoliopsida; Poales; Poaceae.
AUGCAUCGCGCCGCCGGCCUCGACCUGGACCUCGGGCUGGGGCUGGGGCUCGCCUCGCAGGGCAGCCUCACGUCCUCCACCACCAACGCCUCCUCUUCCCCGGCCUCGGGGUCGCACCCGCACGCGCACGCGCACUGGACCGGCACGCUCAGCUCCGUCGUCGGCGUGCGGAAGGAGGAGCCGGGGAUGAGGACGUCCACGUCGCCCGAGAGCGGCGUGAGCGGAGGCAUCAAGAGGGGCCUGGAGCGCACCGGCUCCGGCGUCUUCCCCGCCGCGGGCAGCGACGAGGACGAGGACGGCGGCGACCGCAAGAAGCUCAGGCUGUCCAAGGACCAGGCCGCCGUCCUCGAGGAGUGCUUCAAGAUGCACAGCACGCUCAACCCCAAGCAGAAGACGGCACUGGCGAACCGGCUGGGGCUCCGGCCGCGCCAGGUGGAGGUGUGGUUCCAGAACCGCCGCGCCCGCACCAAGCUCAAGCAGACGGAGGUGGACUGCGAGCACAUGAAGCGCUGGUGCGAGCACCUCGCCGAGCAGAACUGCCGCCUCGAGAAGGAGGUGGCCGAGCUCAGGGCGCUCAACGCCGCACCACCAGCGCACAGCGGCGCUGCGACGGGGCCCCUCACCACCCUCACCAUGUGCCUCUCCUGCAAGCGCGUCGCGUCGUCGUCCUCUGCCUCGGCCUGCAACGUGCCCAGCUUCUCCGCCAACUCCGGCAUCGGCAUGCCAAUGCCAACCCCAGUGGCACUGCCCGAACAUCGGCAGUUCUUCUGCAGGUUCAGGGACACCGAAGUGACGUACGGCGGCUCUUCGGGGCUCGUCAAGGUGGUCAAGCCGGCCAGAUAG